This 550-nucleotide ribosomal RNA is filed under the name uncultured archaeon. RNAcentral's name for it is "bacterial SSU rRNA". It matches the Rfam family "Archaeal small subunit ribosomal RNA", at positions 325 to 879 of the family's 1478-position model. The record is from RNAcentral.
ACGGGGUGCAGCAGGCGCGAAAACUUUACAAUGCGAGCAAUCGUGAUAAGGGAACUCCGAGUGCCUGUAAAAUCAGGCUGUCCGCCAGUGUAAAUAACUGGUGAAGAAAGGGCCGGGCAAGACCGGCGCCAGCCGCCGCGGUAAUACCGGCGGCUCGAGUGGUGGCCACUAUUACUGGGCUUAAAGCGUUCGUAGCUGGUCUGUUAAGUCUCUGGGGAAAUCUUCCGGCUUAACCGGAAGGCGUCUCAGGGAUACUGGCAGACUAGGGACCGGAAGAGGUGAGAGGUACUCCAGGGGUAGGAGUGAAAUCCUGUAAUCCUUGGGGGACCACCUGUGGCGAAGGCGUCUCACCAGGACGGCUCCGACAGUGAGGAACGGAAGCUGGGGGAGCAAACCGGAUUAGAUACCCGGGUAGUCCCAGCUGUAAACGAUGCGCGUUAGGUGUAUCGGUGACCACGAGUCACCGAGGUGCCGAAGAGAAAUCGUGAAACGCGCCGCCUGGGAAGUACGGUCGCAAGGCUGAAACUUAAAGGAAUUGGCGGGGGAGCAC